Molecule: transfer RNA, 102 nt
Filed under: Dictyostelium discoideum
Lineage: Eukaryota; Evosea; Eumycetozoa; Dictyosteliales; Dictyosteliaceae
Description: partial tRNA-Ile
Rfam family: tRNA (bases 8-80)
About the family: Transfer RNA (tRNA) molecules are approximately 80 nucleotides in length. Their secondary structure includes four short double-helical elements and three loops (D, anti-codon, and T loops). Further hydrogen bonds mediate the characteristic L-shaped molecular structure. tRNAs have two regions of fundamental functional importance: the anti-codon, which is responsible for specific mRNA codon recognition, and the 3' end, to which the tRNAs corresponding amino acid is attached (by aminoacyl-tRNA synthetases). tRNAs cope with the degeneracy of the genetic code in two manners: having more than one tRNA (with a specific anti-codon) for a particular amino acid; and 'wobble' base-pairing, i.e. permitting non-standard base-pairing at the 3rd anti-codon position.
Source: RNAcentral
AUCGAUAGCUCGAUUAGCUCAGUCGGCAGAGCGUGGUGCUAAUAACGCCACGGUCGCAGGUUCGAUCCCUGCAUCGAGCAACGAUAUUUUAAAAUAUUGUGA